UACGGAGGGGGCUAGCGUUGUUCGGAAUCACUGGGCGUAAAGGGCGCGUAGGCGGCUUUAUAAGUCGGGGGUGAAAGCCUGUGGCUCAACCACAGAAUUGCCUUCGAUACUGUAGAGCUUGAGACCGGAAGAGGUAAGUGGAACUGCGAGUGUAGAGGUGAAAUUCGUAGAUAUUCGCAAGAACACCAGUGGCGAAGGCGGCUUACUGGUCCGGUUCUGACGCUGAGGCGCGAAAGCGUGGGGAGCAAACAGG
RNAcentral lists this ribosomal RNA (253 nucleotides) under uncultured bacterium. RNAcentral describes it as "partial 16S ribosomal RNA". It matches the Rfam family "Bacterial small subunit ribosomal RNA", at positions 524 to 776 of the family's 1533-position model. The record is from RNAcentral.